This 265-nucleotide long non-coding RNA is filed under the name Danio rerio (zebrafish). Its description in RNAcentral is "si:ch211-40k21.6 (ENSDARG00000097969.2)". The record is from RNAcentral. Lineage: Eukaryota; Metazoa; Chordata; Actinopteri; Cypriniformes; Danionidae.
ACUACAGACGUCACAGCAAACAAGAGUUCAGGCGGGGAGCUGUUUGAGCGGAUUGUAGAUGAGUUUUAAUCACGCAGAUCCUGGAGGGAAUCCCAGUACAUGCAUGGGGAAAAACAUCGUCCACCUCGACCUGAAGCCAGAAAACAUUGUCUGUGUGAACGCCGCCGGGACGCUCCUCGAGAUCAUUGACUUUGUGCUGGCCUGCAAACUGGUCUUAAGAGAGAACCCCAGACUUCACUCUCCCCAGACACUUCCUUCGGCAGGA